UCUUAUCAGUUUAAUAUCUGAUACGUCCCCCAUCGGGGGACUACAUAUUAAAUGGAUUUUUCGAACAGGGAGUCGGAAAUGGGGCUUGCUCCGUCCGCUCCACGCAUCGACCCGGUAUUGCAGUACCUCCGGGAAUGGUGCAACACUU
This 148-nucleotide small nuclear RNA is filed under the name Salmo salar (Atlantic salmon). Its description in RNAcentral is "U2 spliceosomal RNA". It matches the Rfam family "U2 spliceosomal RNA", at positions 44 to 192 of the family's 192-position model. Rfam says of the family: U2 is a small nuclear RNA (snRNA) component of the spliceosome (involved in pre-mRNA splicing). Complementary binding between U2 snRNA (in an area lying towards the 5' end but 3' to hairpin I) and the branchpoint sequence (BPS) of the intron results the bulging out of an unpaired adenosine, on the BPS, which initiates a nucleophilic attack at the intronic 5' splice site, thus starting the first of two transesterification reactions that mediate splicing. The record is from Rfam by way of RNAcentral. Lineage: Eukaryota; Metazoa; Chordata; Actinopteri; Salmoniformes; Salmonidae.